This 251-nucleotide ribosomal RNA is filed under the name uncultured prokaryote. RNAcentral's name for it is "partial 16S rRNA". It matches the Rfam family "Bacterial small subunit ribosomal RNA", at positions 525 to 775 of the family's 1533-position model. The record is from RNAcentral.
AAGUAGGGGGCGAGCGUUGUCCGGAAUUACUGGGCGUAAAGGGUGCGUAGGUGGCCUUUUAAGUUGGAUGUGAAAUACCCGGGCUUAACUUGGGGGGUGCAUCUAAUACUGGAGGGAUAGAGUACAGGAGAGGAAAGCGGUAUUCCUAGUUGAGGGGUGAAAUGCGAAAAUAUGAGGAGGAACGCCAGGGGCGAAGGCGCCUAACUGGCGUGUGACUGACACUGCGGAUAGUAUGUGUGGAUUGUGAGAAG